This is a small nuclear RNA of Myotis lucifugus (little brown bat), 107 nucleotides long. NCBI's taxonomy places the organism in Eukaryota, Metazoa, Chordata, Mammalia, Chiroptera, Vespertilionidae. The record is from Ensembl.
GUGCUCACUUCAGCAGUGCAUAUACUAAAAUUAGACCAAUAAAGAGGAGAUUAGUUUGGUCCCUGAGUGAGGAUGACAUGCAAAUUUGUGAAGUGUUCCAUAUUUUU